CUUGGUCAUUUAGAGGAAGUAAAAGUCGUAACAAGGUCUCCGUAGGUGGACCUGCGGAGGGAUCAUUAACGAAUGGCCCUAGGCCUUCAACCUUGUAAACCUGUGGAAGCAAAACGUGCUUUGGCGCUUUCGGGCGCCAACUUUAUGCUUAGAUCAGUCUUGAUGUCUGAAUCAAAAACAAGAAAUAAAACUUUCAACAAAGGAUCUCUUGGCACUCGCAUCGAUGAAGAACGCAGCGAAGCGCGAAAUGUAGUGUGAAUCGCAGAACAUUGUGAAUCAUCGAAUCUUUGAACGCACAUUGCGCCUCCAGUAACUUGGAGGCAUGCCUGUCUGAGCGUCAUUUAAAACCAUAGACCCUUCUGGGUUUGUAUUGGGCCUCGCCUCCGGGCGUAGCCUCAAAGUCAUCGGUCUUAUACGCGGACGAGCUCCAUUCGGACGGAACGUGUGCAGACCUUAAUUCAUCUGACUUGACCUCAGAUCAGGUAGGACUACCGCCUGAACUUAAGCAUAUCAAUAAGCGGAGGA
Molecule: ribosomal RNA, 525 nt
Filed under: uncultured Ascomycota
Lineage: Eukaryota; Fungi; Ascomycota
Description: eukaryotic LSU rRNA
Rfam family: 5.8S ribosomal RNA (bases 189-340)
Source: RNAcentral